GACGAACGCUGGCGGCGUGCUUAACACAUGCAAGUCGAACGGAAAGGCCCUGCUUUUGUGGGUUGCUCGAUUGGCGAACGGGUGAGUAACACGUGAGUAACCUGCCCUUGUCUUUCGGAUAACUUCAGGAAACUGGGGCUCAUACCGGAUAUGAGCUCCUGCUGCAUGGUGGGGGUUGGAAAGUUUCGGCGGUUUGGGCUAGUCUCGCGGCUUAUGAGCUUGUUGGUGUGGUAGUGGCUUACCAAGGCUUUGACGGGUAGCCGGCCUGAGAGGGUGAACGGCGACAUUGGGACUGAGAGAGGGCGCAGACGCCAACGGGAGGCAGCAGGGGAGAAUAUGGCAGAAUGGGCGGAAGCCUGAUGCAGAAACGCCGCGUGCGGGAUGACGGCUUUCGGGGGGUAAACAGCUUUCGCCUGUGACGAAGAGGGAGUGACGGUAAUGAGUAAAGAAGCAACGGCUAACUACGUG
Molecule: ribosomal RNA, 468 nt
Filed under: uncultured bacterium
Lineage: Bacteria
Description: partial 16S ribosomal RNA
Rfam family: Bacterial small subunit ribosomal RNA
Source: RNAcentral